RNAcentral lists this long non-coding RNA (1508 nucleotides) under Corvus moneduloides (New Caledonian crow). RNAcentral describes it as "lncRNA (ENSCMUG00000018520.1)". Lineage: Eukaryota; Metazoa; Chordata; Aves; Passeriformes; Corvidae. The record is from RNAcentral.
UUAUAAGCUGCUUUAAUACUACUGUUGACUGGGGAGGUUUUAAUUUGAAAAGGGCACUCCCAAGGGGUGUCUGUAUGAAGAUGAAACCUUAUUUAGCUUGAGAAGAAAAGGCAUCAGCCACAGCUCCCAUGUCUCUUGUGUUAGAUGCAAGAGGAUGUUAGAAGUCCAUCUCCCCUCCUUUCCUCAGCAGCAGUACUCAUUUUACUGUAGGUGUUGCUGCUGCAGGUACAGCUACACCAAGUUCAACCUUCUGUAGCUAUAAGGACCUACCCUGCAGUAUGAUCUUAGUCUAAAGGUAGAGUAUACAACUCACAACAUUUCUUCAUCAGUGUAUAAACACCAGAUGCUUGGCUGGCUUUCCCUUUCAGGAAAGCAAGAGGGAUGGGGAAGAAGAUGGAGAGCUGAAACUGCUUCACAUGCCUUGUCACAGUGAAUUGCCUGGGUUUAGUACCAGGUGGAAGGUUAAUUAUUGUAUUUUGUGUCUUGCUUUCUGUCUUACUUCCAAGGAACAUCAGAGGAGGAGGAAGGACAAGGAUCUAUGAGGCAUUGAUCAUUGAAGAGUAUAGCUGAGGAGAAAAGGAUGAAAAUAUUAAUUUAUUACCAAAGUGGGGAUGAAUUGUGUUUGAACCCAGAGGUUAAAAGUACUACAGUUUGUUUGUGUCCUGAGACAACCACUAUUCCUGGUGCUGAGCUCUCCACAGUAGCAUAGGAUUGAGAGACACCAUACAGAUAAAAUUUUAUCCUUGGAGUCCUGCUAGAGUGUGUUGGAGGCUGAAUCUGAUGCAUGUGACCUUGGCAUGUGACCCUGUCACACCUCUUGACCCCAGAACUGAAACUUACUCUAGACUGGUAAUACCCAUAUUGCAGAAGAGAUCACCCAGGCUAUUUUGUACCCAGAAAAAGCAUUCAAUAAAUGUUUGAUCUGGCAGAGCAUUUAACAUCUGCCCAAACAUAGAUUUACGGGGUUACGUGAUGCUAUGUGCUGCAGCAGACGGAAUCACGAUUGUGAGCCUGGGUUUCUGAAAAGCAAAGAAAACACGUGGAUUUACCAUACUACUGAUUUGUGUGGACAUGCUAACAGCCAGGACAAAAAUGUCAAUUUUCCUGCAGAACUGGUGCCAGGACAUCAUGCUGCACUCUGGCUGAAAAGACAUCCCAGUGCCUGGAGCAACACAGUCCUUUCUGUCCAUUACUGCUGGAAAUUCUGCCAGGGAAUUUCACUUUUAGAAUACAAAUAACUGCAGCCUUCAGUGCCUUUGAAGGGGACGGCCUUGCUGCUCUUCCCUUGCUCUUUUAUGGACUUACUUGGCAGAUGAAAGUUAUCUCCAUCAAGGAAAUAGUCUUGGGUUUGGCCACUUUUGAUUUGUAAUGUAUUUGAUAUUGUUUAUAACACUGCUAAAUAAACAGAAUGAUUACCAUGGAUUUGACUCCCUCUAAAACAGAAGGAAAUACUGUGUUACAUGGAAAUACAUGUAAUUUACGUUUAAUAAUUAGUACUUAUUAUGCAG